UAUAUGCCGUUGCGGAUAUAAGCUUUUUUAAUUUUUAAUAUUUAAAAAUGGCUUUUUCAAACCAGAUUUCAUUUGAAUCAAGUGAAAAUAAUAUAGCUAGCCAAAGUUUUAACAAAUGUGAAGAUGAAGUUUUUAUAAACAUACUGUGCGAAUUGCCAAUACUUCUACAAAAAAACCAAGUUCCAAACGUUAAAAUAAAGAAAAACAAAGCAUUUUUAAAAAUGCAAGACCAAAUGUUCCAAGCAACAAAAACAAAAAUUGAUACAAAAACAUUGGCGAAAAAGAUUGCCAACAUGAAGACAAGGUUAAAAAAAAAAGUCUGACAUCCAUCGAACUGGAAACAAGCUUAUAAAACUUUCAGCGAGUGAAGUCAAACUUGCUAAUCUUUUAGGUACAGAAAAGAAUCCUACCUUCACACAAAUUGAUGGGGCAAUAUCUGCAGGCAUAAAUCAAACUCCCACUUCAAGUGUUGCUGAAACAAAUUCUGUAUUCAGCAACACAUCAAAAAGUCAAACUAUAUUUUCAUUGUCACCAUCAGUUGAAUUUUCUGGUAAUGUUAAAAGUAGUUUCAGGAACACAUCUUCUCAAGCAUCGAGGUUAAUUCCAAAAAGAUUAAAACUACCUGGUGAAACUAAAGAAACUAUAAAAUGGACAAAUACAGAGCUUCAGCGUGUGGUCAUGCUGGAGCAGCUAAAAUACUAUCAGUUGAAAAGUUUAAAGUUGAAAUAUACUACUCCCCACAUAUAAAUGAAGAGGAGAUAGA
Molecule: long non-coding RNA, 763 nt
Organism: Hydra vulgaris (swiftwater hydra)
Lineage: Eukaryota; Metazoa; Cnidaria; Hydrozoa; Anthoathecata; Hydridae
Source: RefSeq, a predicted model, not a curated record